ACUCAAAGGAAUUGACGGGGGCCCGCACAAGCAGCGGAGCGUGUGGUUUAAUUCGAUGCAACGCGAAGAACCUUACCCGGGCUUGACACGCACGUGGUAGCUGGCCGAAAGGGCAGCGACCCGCAAGGGAGCGUGCGCAGGUGCUGCACGGCUGUCGUCAGCUCGUGCCGUGAGGUGUUGGGUUAAGUCCCGCAACGAGCGCAACCCCCGCGGCCAGUUACUCCGUCUGGCCGGACCGCCGGGACCAACCCGGAGGAAGGUGGGGAUGACGUCAAGUCAGCAUGGCCCUUACGUCCGGGGCGACACACACGCUACAAUGGCCGGGACAAUGGGUAGCGAGGGGGCGACCCGGAGCCAAUCCCAGCAAACCCGGCCCCAGUUCGGAUCGGAGGCUGCAACUCGCCUCCGUGAAGUCGGAGUUGCUAGUAACCGCGGGUCAGCACACCGCGGUGAAUACGUUCCCGGGCCUUGUACACACCGCCCGU
This 485-nucleotide ribosomal RNA is filed under the name uncultured bacterium. RNAcentral's name for it is "partial 16S ribosomal RNA". It matches the Rfam family "Bacterial small subunit ribosomal RNA", at positions 899 to 1397 of the family's 1533-position model. The record is from RNAcentral.